AAUAGAUACCCGGGUAGUCCACGCCGUAAACUAUGAUUACUCGAUGUCGGCGAUAUACUGUCGGUGUCCAAGCGAAAGUGAUAAGUAAUCCACCUGGGGAGUACGAUCGCAAGGUUGAAACUCAAAGGAAUUGACGGGGGCCCGCACAAGCGGUGGAGCAUGUGGUUUAAUUCGAUGAUACGCGAGGAACCUUACCUGGGCUUGAAUGCAUUAUGACCGUCCCGGAAACGGGACUUUCUUCGGACAGAAUGCAAGGUGCUGCAUGGUUGUCGUCAGCUCGUGCUGUGAGGUGUCGGGUUAAGUCCCAUAACGAGCGCAACCCCUAUUCUUAGUUGCCAGCGGGUAAUGCCGGGGACUCUAAGAAAACUGCCCGCGUAAGCGGUGAGGAAGGUGGGGAUGACGUCAAAUCAUCACGGCCCUUACGUCCAGGGGCUACACACGUGCUACAAUGGUCAGUACAAAAGGGCAGCUACCUGGUGACAGGAUGCUAAUCUCGAAAAACUGAAUCUCAGUUCGGAUCGAAGUCUGCAACUCGUA
This 537-nucleotide ribosomal RNA is filed under the name uncultured bacterium. Its description in RNAcentral is "bacterial SSU rRNA". It matches the Rfam family "Bacterial small subunit ribosomal RNA", at positions 777 to 1316 of the family's 1533-position model. The record is from RNAcentral.